AUACCGUUAGCUCAAUGGGACAGAGCAAUUGCCUUCUAAGCAAUAGGUUACUGGUUCGAACCCAGUACGGUAUGCCA
RNAcentral lists this transfer RNA (77 nucleotides) under Serratia quinivorans. RNAcentral describes it as "tRNA-Arg(tct)". It matches the Rfam family "tRNA". Rfam says of the family: Transfer RNA (tRNA) molecules are approximately 80 nucleotides in length. Their secondary structure includes four short double-helical elements and three loops (D, anti-codon, and T loops). The record is from RNAcentral. Lineage: Bacteria; Pseudomonadati; Pseudomonadota; Gammaproteobacteria; Enterobacterales; Yersiniaceae.